ACAAAAGACGGGCGGUGACCCCCUCCCGUCACACACACAUGGUCCGGUCCGGUCCGGUCCGGUCCCCCCCGCCCCGUGCUGUGUCAUCCCGCAGCCUUACCGGGCCGCGCUGUCAGGGCCGCACCGGGAGCCGCAUGGACGCCGCUCUGAGGCUGAAGAGUUGGCAUCACAAAACUAGGAUUUCUUCCAAACCGCCACUGGGACUCCCUACGGACAUUCUGGAAAUGGCAGGACUCUUCCUUGGGGUUUUUGAAGAGCCUUUCUCGGAUGAAUAACAGAACCUGCAGAAAGGUUAGCAUCAAAAUAGCUGUGGAGCAAGAGCAUCUGUAGGGGACACGUAGCCAGGGGUUCAGUGUCACCUGCUCUGUGCAGCUGUCCUACGGCUAAUGCAAGAAUCUGUGUUCUGAAAAGGUCAAAAAGGCAAUUAAAGAGACAAAAGUCUAGCCCUUUCCAGAACUGAAGCAGAUGUUCAGCCAAAACAUUUGCCUGUAAGAUUGUAUUUCCUUAAGGUUUAUUAACCAUUAAGUGUUUUUAGGGACGGGAUCUUAAAGAUAAUGAACUGAACAACAAGUAUAGUCAGGAUUCCUUCGCAAAUUAUUCCUGUUGGGUUAGACAAGAGUUUGAAAAGCAAAAUGCUUUGUUAUGAUUUUACAGUGAGAGGAGACCCCGAGCUUGGCCCUGGCAGCUCAUCUCUGCUUUAACUUGAUGGUAGAGCCAGGUAACUGCUGAGUUAAGGGAGAGCCAAGCAGAGCAGUUGCAUUGAACCAGCAGCAAAGUGGUCUACUGUGAGGGUGCUGAGGCGCUGGCACAGGGUGGCCAGAGAAGCUGUGGCUGCCCCAUCCAUGGCAGUGUUCAAGGCCAGGUUGGACACAGGGGCUUGGAGCAAGCUGCUCUAGUGGAAGGUGUCCCUGCUGUGGCAGGUUGUUGGAACUAGAUGGAUUUUAUGGUCCUUUCCAACCCAAACCAUUCUAUGACUCUAUGAUUUGUAAGGACCUUGCAGCAAUGCCAGCUUAAAGGAAUUCUGCUCUCCCCACCCUGGCUGUGCACUACAGUACUAUCACCUUGUACUCUUCAGUUGUCCCAGCACUAAAGUAGGCCAGUGAACUGAUGAAGCCUAAAAAUGAAGAGGGAGGGGAUUUGAAGUGGGAUCUGGUGCACAGAACUGUUUCAGUUCAUUAAGUUUUCAAAUGCAAUCAUGUUUGAAAUCAUUAUUUUUCAUCUUGUUUUGUGAUAAGACUAUAUCCUUUUCCAAGAACAUUCCCUAGUAACUAUUAAUAUAUGCUGAUUUCCAGCUAAAUAUAACACUUUGCUAAAUUUUGGGUUAGUAGAUGGCUAUGUGAUCAAAGUGAAGGUUGUGGAAUAUCCAUUACUGGAAAUCAUAAUAACACACGAGAUGAAGCUGUGCCAAAAAUCACAGCUAACCUUGCCUUGGGUGGAAGGAUGGAUGAGCUGAACAGCCAAGCUCCCUCCCAGCUCUAUUCUGCUGUGGCUCUAGGACAGAAACACAUAUUUAGGUCACCAUAUAAAUGAAUACCCAGUUUUCAGAAUUUUAAACGUAGAUGUUUUAUACUAUAGAACAAUGGGUGUUUCACAUCUAUUUACUCAUUUGUACCUAAUCACAGAAUUUAGUGGAAUUCAACUAUAUUGCAAUAGACAAACGAACUACUAAUUAGUUUAUUCAAAUUCAUUCUCAU
Long non-coding RNA from Melopsittacus undulatus (budgerigar), 1694 nucleotides. The record is from Ensembl. Lineage: Eukaryota; Metazoa; Chordata; Aves; Psittaciformes; Psittaculidae.